CGAAGGAUGCAAGCGUUAUCGGAUUCAUUGGGUUUAAAGGGUGCGUAGGCGGCCCGGUAAGUCAGUGGUGAAAUCUCGCAGCUUAACUGCGAAACUGCCAUUGAUACUGCUGGGCUUGAGUACAGAUGCUGUGGGCGGAAUAUGACAUGUAGUGGUGAAAUACAUAGAGAUGUCAUAGAACACCGAUUGCGAAGGCAGCUCACAAAACUGUAACUGACGCUGAGGCACGAAAGUGCGGGGAUCAAACAGGAUUAGAUACCCUGGUAGUCCGCACUGUAAACGAUGAUCACUCGCUGCUGGGUAGCAAUAUCCAGUGGCUUAGCGAAAGCGAUAAGUGAUCCACCUGGGGAGUACGCCGGCAACGGUG
Molecule: ribosomal RNA, 367 nt
Filed under: uncultured organism
Description: bacterial SSU rRNA
Rfam family: Bacterial small subunit ribosomal RNA
Source: RNAcentral